This 1299-nucleotide unclassified non-coding RNA is filed under the name Hevea brasiliensis (rubber tree). The record is from RNAcentral. Lineage: Eukaryota; Viridiplantae; Streptophyta; Magnoliopsida; Malpighiales; Euphorbiaceae.
UAGUAAUAAAGGAAGAAUGCAAGCGUUUAACUCUCUACUAUACACAGUUUUCUUGUGUCAACAGUACCUUCCAAAAAACACAAUCAAACAAUUACAGAAAGCUUACCAAAGCCACUACUAAGAAGAGAAUCAUUACGCUAUCGUCCAAAAAAUGAGAAAAAUCCACGUUUCUUUGGCUCCUCCUCCAUCAUUACAGUCUCCAUACUAUCUUGCUCCACCAACCUCCAAGCUGCUUGCUCAAAUGCCAGACCUGCCAAAGCUGGUGGCUUGUUCAACACAAGGGGAUAACCUCUGUUAGUACUUCUAAUAACUUCUGAAUCCUCAGGUAUUACCCCCAACAAUGGAAGCCCUAGCAUUUCCUGCACAUCCAAUACAGACAUCAUAUCUUCCCCUUUUAUCAUAUCAGUCCGAACCCUGUUCACAAUCAUCUUAAUAUCCCUAAUUCCAUCACAUUCUAACAAUCCUGUCACUCUAUCAGCGUCUCUUAAGCUGGUAAUAUCUGGCGUUGUCACUAGUACAGCCUCAUUUGCCGGAGUUAUAGCCGUGAUGAACCCAGCAUCAAUGCCGGCUGGACAAUCAAUGAUGAUGAAAUCCGGACCACCUUCAUCACGAGCUUUUAGGGCAUCCACAAGCCAAACCAAAGCUUUCCCACCAAACCCUAUCGGCAAUUUGGAUCUGGGCUUGGAAAUACACAGCAGCUCGAAAUUGGACCACCGCUUAUCACGUACAAGAGCCUGAUCUAGUCUGCAAUCACCGUUGAGAACCUCGACAACAGUAUAAUUCACCCGGUUUUCUAAGCCCAGGAGGAGGUCAAGGUUGCGGAGACCAACAUCGCAAUCAAUGGCGACGACAGAGAAGCCGAGCCUAGCUAAUGAAAGACCGAUGUUGGCGGUGGUAGUGGUCUUCCCGACGCCGCCUUUGCCGGAUGUAAUGACGACGACUCUCGGCGUAUCUCCGGCGAGUUGAGGCUUGCGGUUGUACUGGAGCAUAGAAUGGAUGGAAGGGUAGAAGUUUCUAGAAGGCCUGAAGGCCGGAAUGGGUUUUAGGGUUUUGGGAGACAAGGAAUUGGGAGGGGUAAAGGUGGAAGAGUAGAGAGAGGAAGGUUUAGGGUUGAGCGGCUGCAGAGAUAACAUUUUUGUGUAGAAGAACGAGAGUUGUAUUUGAGUGAAAGAGAGGAAAUUUCACAAGAACAUGUUUCGAUGUCGCUUAGCAGAAAGGAGAAGAAGACGGCUCUGGAAGUGAAAAAGGUAAGAUAUCUUUCUUGCAGCUAGGAGUUAAAUUGUUUUAAUCCGAAUCGAA